RNAcentral lists this ribosomal RNA (1372 nucleotides) under uncultured bacterium. RNAcentral's name for it is "bacterial SSU rRNA". It matches the Rfam family "Bacterial small subunit ribosomal RNA", at positions 28 to 1381 of the family's 1533-position model. The record is from RNAcentral.
GAUGAACGCUGGCGGCGUGCCUAAUACAUGCAAGUCGAGCGAACGGACGAGGAGCUUGCUUCUCUGAUGUUAGCGGCGGACGGGUGAGUAACACGUGGAUAACCUACCUAUAAGACUGGGAUAACUUCGGGAAACCGGAGCUAAUACCGGAUAAUAUUUUGAACCGCAUGGUUCAAAAGUGAAAGACGGUCUUGCUGUCACUUAUAGAUGGAUCCGCGCUGCAUUAGCUAGUUGGUAAGGUAACGGCUUACCAAGGCAACGAUGCAUAGCCGACCUGAGAGGGUGAUCGGCCACACUGGAACUGAGACACGGUCCAGACUCCUACGGGAGGCAGCAGUAGGGAAUCUUCCGCAAUGGGCGAAAGCCUGACGGAGCAACGCCGCGUGAGUGAUGAAGGUCUUCGGAUCGUAAAACUCUGUUAUUAGGGAAGAACAUAUGUGUAAGUAACUGUGCACAUCUUGACGGUACCUAAUCAGAAAGCCACGGCUAACUACGUGCCAGCAGCCGCGGUAAUACGUAGGUGGCAAGCGUUAUCCGGAAUUAUUGGGCGUAAAGCGCGCGUAGGCGGUUUUUUAAGUCUGAUGUGAAAGCCCACGGCUCAACCGUGGAGGGUCAUUGGAAACUGGAAAACUUGAGUGCAGAAGAGGAAAGUGGAAUUCCAUGUGUAGCGGUGAAAUGCGCAGAGAUAUGGAGGAACACCAGUGGCGAAGGCGACUUUCUGGUCUGUAACUGACGCUGAUGUGCGAAAGCGUGGGGAUCAAACAGGAUUAGAUACCCUGGUAGUCCACGCCGUAAACGAUGAGUGCUAAGUGUUAGGGGGUUUCCGCCCCUUAGUGCUGCAGCUAACGCAUUAAGCACUCCGCCUGGGGAGUACGACCGCAAGGUUGAAACUCAAAGGAAUUGACGGAGACCCGCACAAGCGGUGGAGCAUGUGGUUUAAUUCGAAGCAACGCGAAGAACCUUACCAAAUCUUGACAUCCUUUGACAACUCUAGAGAUAGAGCCUUCCCCUUCGGGGGACAAAGUGACAGGUGGUGCAUGGUUGUCGUCAGCUCGUGUCGUGAGAUGUUGGGUUAAGUCCCGCAACGAGCGCAACCCUUAAGCUUAGUUGCCAUCAUUAAGUUGGGCACUCUAAGUUGACUGCCGGUGACAAACCGGAGGAAGGUGGGGAUGACGUCAAAUCAUCAUGCCCCUUAUGAUUUGGGCUACACACGUGCUACAAUGGACAAUACAAAGGGCAGCGAAACCGCGAGGUCAAGCAAAUCCCAUAAAGUUGUUCUCAGUUCGGAUUGUAGUCUGCAACUCGACUACAUGAAGCUGGAAUCGCUAGUAAUCGUAGAUCAGCAUGCUACGGUGAAUACGUUCCCGGGUCU